This 1332-nucleotide ribosomal RNA is filed under the name uncultured bacterium. Its description in RNAcentral is "bacterial SSU rRNA". It matches the Rfam family "Bacterial small subunit ribosomal RNA", at positions 28 to 1381 of the family's 1533-position model. The record is from RNAcentral.
GACGAACGCUGGCGGCGCGCCUAACACAUGCAAGUCGAACGAGCGAGAGAGAGCUUACUUUCUCGAGCGAGUGGCGAACGGGUGAGUAACGCGUGAGGAACCUGCCUCAAAGAGGGGGACAACAGUUGGAAACGACUGCUAAUACCGCAUAAGCCCACGGCUCGGCAUCGAGCAGAGGGAAAAGGAGCAAUCCGCUUUGAGAUGGCCUCGCGUCCGAUUAGCUAGUUGGUGAGGUAACGGCCCACCAAGGCGACGAUCGGUAGCCGGACUGAGAGGUUGAACGGCCACAUUGGGACUGAGACACGGCCCAGACUCCUACGGGAGGCAGCAGUGGGGAAUAUUGCACAAUGGGGGAAACCCUGAUGCAGCGACGCCGCGUGGAGGAAGAAGGUCUUCGGAUUGUAAACUCCUGUUGUUGAGGAAGAUAAUGACGGUACUCAACAAGGAAGUGACGGCUAACUACGUGCCAGCAGCCGCGGUAAAACGUAGGUCACAAGCGUUGUCCGGAAUUACUGGGUGUAAAGGGAGCGCAGGCGGGAAGACAAGUUGGAAGUGAAAUCCAUGGGCUCAACCCAUGAACUGCUUUCAAAACUGUUUUUCUUGAGUAGUGCAGAGGUAGGCGGAAUUCCCGGUGUAGCGGUGGAAUGCGUAGAUAUCGGGAGGAACACCAGUGGCGAAGGCGGCCUACUGGGCACCAACUGACGCUGAGGCUCGAAAGUGUGGGUAGCAAACAGGAUUAGAUACCCUGGUAGUCCACACUGUAAACGAUGAUUACUAGGUGUUGGAGGAUUGACCCCUUCAGUGCCGCAGUUAACACAAUAAGUAAUCCACCUGGGGAGUACGACCGCAAGGUUGAAACUCAAAGGAAUUGACGGGGGCCCGCACAAGCAGUGGAGUAUGUGGUUUAAUUCGACGCAACGCGAAGAACCUUACCAAGUCUUGACAUCCUGCGACGCACAUAGAAAUAUGUGUUUCAUUCGGGACGCAGAGACAGGUGGUGCAUGGUUGUCGUCAGCUCGUGUCGUGAGAUGUUGGGUUAAGUCCCGCAACGAGCGCAACCCUUAUGGUCAGUUACUACGCAAGAGGACUCUGGCCAGACUGCCGUUGACAAAACGGAGGAAGGUGGGGAUGACGUCAAAUCAUCAUGCCCUUUAUGACUUGGGCUACACACGUACUACAAUGGCGUUAAACAAAGAGAAGCAAGACCGCGAGGUGGAGCAAAACUCAGAAACAACGUCCCAGUUCGGACUGCAGGCUGCAACUCGCCUGCACGAAGUCGGAAUUGCUAGUAAUCGCAGAUCAGCAUGCUGCGGUGAAUACGUUCCCGGGCCU